Molecule: small RNA, 735 nt
Filed under: Pluteus septocystidiatus
Lineage: Eukaryota; Fungi; Basidiomycota; Agaricomycetes; Agaricales; Pluteaceae
Description: eukaryotic LSU rRNA
Rfam family: 5.8S ribosomal RNA (bases 257-410)
Source: RNAcentral
GAUCAUUAGCGAAUAAACAAGUGUUGGUUGUGCUGACCAUUCGUGGUAUGUGCACGCUGACCACUGUUUCAUUCAUUUUCCACCUGUGCACUUCAUGUAGUCCAUUGCAUUGCUGAUUUCGGGCCUUUAAGCCUGGUUUAAGGAAGUUGCUUGUUUCACAACAGGCUCUUCUUGGGCAUGUAUGGUCUAUGUUUACUAUCUACACCAUAUAAAUGUCAUAGAAUGUAUCAGGCCUUGUGCCUUUAAACUAUAAUACAACUUUCAACAACGGAUCUCUUGGCUCUCGCAUCGAUGAAGAACGCAGCGAAAUGCGAUAAGUAAUGUGAAUUGCAGAAUUCAGUGAAUCAUCGAAUCUUUGAACGCACCUUGCGCUCCUUGGCAUUCCGAGGAGCAUGCCUGUUUGAGUGUCAUUAAAUUCUCAAUCCUAUGCUCUCUUGUAUUGUAUGGUGAUUGGAUUAUGGAGGCUGCUGGCUUGUUCAGCUCCUCUUAAAAGCAUUAGCAGGGUAUAAUGCCAUCUGUGCUUUGUAUGAUAUGUAUCUAUACAUUGUGCAAUUGUGCAUGUCUGCUACAAAUUGUCAGACUUUGACACUUGACCAAUUUGACCUCAAAUCAGGUAGGACUACCCGCUGAACUUAAGCAUAUCAAUAAGCGGAGGAAAAGAAACUAACAAGGAUUCCCCUAGUAACUGCGAGUGAAGCGGGAAAAGCUCAAAUUUAAAAUCUGGCAGUCUCUGGC